This 253-nucleotide ribosomal RNA is filed under the name uncultured bacterium. Its description in RNAcentral is "partial 16S ribosomal RNA". It matches the Rfam family "Bacterial small subunit ribosomal RNA", at positions 524 to 776 of the family's 1533-position model. The record is from RNAcentral.
UACAGAGCCUGCAAGCGUUAUUCGGAUUCACUGGGCGUAAAGGGUGCGCAGGCGGCCGUGUGUGUGAGGCGUGAAAGCCCGGGGCUUAACCCCGGAAUUGCACCUCAAACUACACGGCUAGAGCAUUGGAGAGGGUAGCAGAAUUCACGGUGUAGCAGUGAAAUGCGUAGAUAUCGUGAGGAAUACCAGAGGCGAAGGCGGCUACCUGGACAAUUGCUGACGCUCAGGCACGAAAGCGUGGGGAGCAAAAGGG